This 132-nucleotide small RNA is filed under the name Salmonella enterica subsp. enterica. RNAcentral's name for it is "RtT sRNA". It matches the Rfam family "RtT RNA". From Rfam's summary of the family: This family represents a bacterial cis-regulatory element known as RtT RNA. The exact function of RtT is unknown although it is thought that it may be involved in changing the cellular response in relation to amino acid starvation. Lineage: Bacteria; Pseudomonadati; Pseudomonadota; Gammaproteobacteria; Enterobacterales; Enterobacteriaceae. The record is from RNAcentral.
AUAUCUCUCUGUAAGGGAAGGAUGAGAAGCUUCGACUAAGGUUCGAUUCGAGCGAAAGCGAGAAAGCGUUGCCGCAGGCAACGACCCGAAGGGCGAAACGCGCAGCGCUGAGUCAUCCUUCCCCCACCACCA